UACGUAGGAUGCAAGCGUUGUCCGGAUUUAUUGGGUUUAAAGGGUGCGUAGGCGUCCUAUUAAGUUAGUGGUGAAAACGUUCGACUUAACCGAAUACCCGCCAUUGAUACUGAUAGACUUGAGUGCGACAGAGGGUGUUGGAAUGUGUGGUGUAGCGGUGAAAUGCUUAGAUAUCACGCAGAACACCAAUUGCGAAGGCAGAUGCCUAUGUCGUAACUGACGCUGAGGCACGAAAGCGUGGGGAGCAAACAGG
This 253-nucleotide ribosomal RNA is filed under the name uncultured bacterium. RNAcentral describes it as "partial 16S ribosomal RNA". It matches the Rfam family "Bacterial small subunit ribosomal RNA", at positions 524 to 776 of the family's 1533-position model. The record is from RNAcentral.